RNAcentral lists this ribosomal RNA (255 nucleotides) under uncultured bacterium. Its description in RNAcentral is "partial 16S ribosomal RNA". It matches the Rfam family "Bacterial small subunit ribosomal RNA", at positions 524 to 776 of the family's 1533-position model. The record is from RNAcentral.
UACGAAGGGGGGCUAGCGUUGCUCGGAAUCACUGGGCGUAAAGCGCACGUAGGCGGCUUUCUAAGUCAGGGGGUGAAAUCCUGGAGCUCAACUCCAGAACUGCCUUUGAUACUGGAGAGCUUGAGUCCGGAAGAGGUGAGUGGAACUCCGAGUGUAGAGGUGAAAUUCGUAGAUAUUCGGAAGAACACCAGUGGCGAAGGCGGCUCACUGGUCCGGUACUGACGCUGAGGUGCGAAAGCGUGGGGAGCAAACAGG